RNAcentral lists this ribosomal RNA (250 nucleotides) under uncultured prokaryote. RNAcentral's name for it is "partial 16S ribosomal RNA". It matches the Rfam family "Bacterial small subunit ribosomal RNA", at positions 524 to 773 of the family's 1533-position model. The record is from RNAcentral.
UACGGAGGAUGCGAGCGUUAUCCGGAUUUAUUGGGUUUAAAGGGUGCGCAGGCGGUCUGUUAAGUCAGCGGUGAAAUGUCCCGGCUCAACCGGGGCCCUGCCGUUGAUACUGGCGGACUCGAGUACGGACGGCGCCGGCGGAAUGUGUCAUGUAGCGGUGAAAUGCUUAGAUAUGCCACAGAACACCGAUCGCGAAGGCAGCUGGCGAGGCCGGUACUGACGCUCAGGCACGAAAGCGUGGGGAUCAAAC